Non-coding RNA from Chiloscyllium plagiosum (whitespotted bambooshark), 504 nucleotides. The record is from RefSeq and is a predicted model, not a curated record. NCBI's taxonomy places the organism in Eukaryota, Metazoa, Chordata, Chondrichthyes, Orectolobiformes, Hemiscylliidae.
GUUCACAGAAGAGAGAAAUUGAGAGACUGAGGCUUAAAGCUUUGGAGGAACAAGGAAGCUACAGUUUAAUACUACAAUUGUCUUAUGAAUUUCCAUCCUGUAUUAACAGUGGUAACUUGUGUGCUCUGUUGUAAGGUACUGAAAGGGUGGAUUUGCGGAUGAGAAAUUCAAAUUGAACUUCAUGUUCAGAUGUGAUAGUUACUUGAUCCGUGCCGCUCUGUAUAUCAUUGGCCUUUUCAUCUGGAAGGAAAGAGACAGGGAUCCAGUGCCUGCAUGAGGACUGCAACUCCCAAAUUCCGAGGCAGGGACCACACGUCUGUGGAGAAACCUGGCACUGCACAAGUACAGAAUGUGGGGUGCUAGAUGGUGAAGAUUUGCAGACUGAACCUCAAAAUCAUGUGCAGAUUGUGAUUAAGUUAAACAACAUUUGAAGAACCAAAGAUAGAGAAUCACUCGGCCAAAAUCCUGCAACACUCUCCCUCCCAGCAUUGUCGGUCUAUCUGC